CGAGGCGAACCGGGGAAACUGAAACAUCUCAGUACCCCGAGGAAAAGAAAUCAACCGAGAUUCCCUCAGUAGCGGCGAGCGAACGGGGAGCAGCCCAGAGUCAACAUCAAUAUUUACCACAGGAGAAGGGUCUGGAAAGGCCGGCAAUAAAGGGUGAUAGCCCCGUAUCUAAAGCGGUAAGUGUUGUGAACUCGAAGAGUAGGGCGGGACACGUGUUAUCCUGUCUGAAUAUGGGGGGACCAUCCUCCAAGGCUAAAUACUCCUGACUGACCGAUAGUGAACCAGUACCGUGAGGGAAAGGCGAAAAGAACCCCGGCGAGGGGAGUGAAAUAGAACCUAAAACCGUGUACGUACAAGCAGUAGGAGCACCCGAAAGGGUGUGACUGCGUACCUUUUGUAUAAUGGGUCAGCGACUUAUAUUCUGUAGCAAGGUUAACCGCAUAGGGGAGCCGUAGGGAAACCGAGUCUUAACUGGGCGUUAAGUUGCAGGGUAUAGACCCGAAACCCGGUGAUCUAGCCAUGAGCAGGUUGAAG
RNAcentral lists this ribosomal RNA (534 nucleotides) under Arsenophonus endosymbiont of Bemisia tabaci. RNAcentral describes it as "partial 23S ribosomal RNA". It matches the Rfam family "Bacterial large subunit ribosomal RNA", at positions 175 to 750 of the family's 2925-position model. The record is from RNAcentral. Lineage: Bacteria; Pseudomonadati; Pseudomonadota; Gammaproteobacteria; Enterobacterales; Morganellaceae.